UAUAAACUCUCAACUCUCUCUCUAAAACUCGCUUUCUCUCUCUCUAAAAUUCAAUUUCUCUCUCUUUCAAAUCCAGGAAUCCCAAACACUCGAUCAUGAAACCAUAUAUGAUUUUAAGAGCACACAUGAUGCGAUUAGGAGGCUACAACAGGAAGAAGAGGCGAUUACGAAGGCAAAGAAUCCGGUGAAGAAGAAGAUGUUGACGGUGGUUGUGGCCUGAAUAAAAGAUGACUGCUACAAGGAUUGGUUGGGUUUCCCCGGUUGUGAUAAUGUGAUAGUGUGGUUCAAGGAAGCGAGGACAAGGCGGCGGCUAGGGUUUCACCAGCAGCACUCUUUUGUUCAAUCUUGCAUCAAGAUUACAAAAAUCACUUAUCGGUAUUAUCUAAUUACAAAAAUCACUUUUAAUUUAUAUCAUCAUUCAUUUUGCAGUUUCCGAGAUUCGUGCACUCUUUUGUUCAAUCUUGCAUCAAGAUUUUGUUUAACGGUCGUCUCUGGAUGGUUAAAGAAAGCAGAUUAAAGCAAAAGAAGCUUCAAAAUCAGUUGAAAAUUCAGUCCUAGUCUCAUGAAGUAGAGGUUAUCGAAACAUUGAACACCCAAUUCGCCUCGGUCUGGCUCUCAAUUUCUGUGUCUUUUACUAUGAAAUUUUGAACUCUCCAGACCGCGCUUGCAGCCUUGCAAAACAGGCUUUUGAUGAAGCAAUUGCAGAGCUAGAUACUUUAGGUGAGGAGUCUCACAAAGAAUUGUUGUUUACUUUUUGUAAACAUAUAAUUACAUAGCAUAUUGUGACAUAAGCAAAGCAAGUUGGGGUUUGAGCUGGAUGGAGAGAUGGAUUGCGGUAUGCCCGUGGGAGACCCGAGCCAUUCCCUGGCACAUCACCUCAACUCGGGCAGCGAAAAUGAAUAAACCAGCUAAAAAGAUAAAGCAUGCAAAAACAAACAUGUUUAUUAGCGACGCAUUGGUGCCACCAUUCAGAUUAUGCAUACACGCUAAAGUUUAUCCCUUUUGACCUAGGUUUAUCUUUAGAUAGAUGUGAGUGUGUGAGAAACCUGGUACUUGAUCAAGAAUUGUUAAAAAGGAUCCGUUCAGGUCAGGCCAGUCACUUUGACUAAGAAAAAAAGCAACCUAGAUGCAGUUUAACCUUAUUCCUUAAUGACUGAGAAUGAGUUCCAGAUUCGUUUAAGUAGAAUCGAUGUGCAACAAAGCUGAUCACUCCUUCUGGUUUUCAGCAGAGCAAAGCAGUGCAGUGCAGGCUGCGUCUUCAACACUUGCGUUUUCUACGCAACUUUCUUAUCAAAUCCACCACCUUUAAUUGUGUUCUUCCAGUUCAGAACAUCAUUCAUUGGAUUUGAUGGGUGCCACGUCCCAGUUUGGGAAAGAGUCCUUGCUGGCAGAAGGGAGGUGUGGGCCCGUUUACCGAGCUGUACUGCCAGGUGAUAUCCACGUGGCAGUGAAGGCGUUGGAGAGUGCUAGAGGGAUGAGUCAUGAUGAGGCUGUUUGUAUGUUUGAAGAGCUUUCGAAGCUCAUUCAUCCAAAUUUGUUGUUUAUUGUGAACUUAGCUGCUGCAAGAAUCAACGGCAUGGUUGAAAGACUAGAGUUGUCACGAGAAAUAAGAGAAAGGGUACACUCUCUUUUUCAACAGAUUCUGAGUCACCGAACAACGUUGUUGUUCAACCGCCAUAUUCACGAGAUUGUCAUAUUCACGAGAUUGUCUUUUCAACAGAUUCUGCCAUGGCUACAGAAAACAACCACAUUAACAUUAACACGGGUGUACACCUA
Helianthus annuus (common sunflower) is the source of this 1776-nucleotide long non-coding RNA. RefSeq lists it as uncharacterized. NCBI's taxonomy places the organism in Eukaryota, Viridiplantae, Streptophyta, Magnoliopsida, Asterales, Asteraceae. The transcript has 8 exons. The record is from RefSeq and is a predicted model, not a curated record.